This 98-nucleotide non-coding RNA is filed under the name Paenibacillus sp. RNAcentral's name for it is "Guanine sequence". It matches the Rfam family "Purine riboswitch aptamer". Rfam says of the family: Riboswitches are metabolite binding domains within certain messenger RNAs that serve as precision sensors for their corresponding targets. Allosteric rearrangement of mRNA structure is mediated by ligand binding, and this results in modulation of gene expression. Lineage: Bacteria; Bacillati; Bacillota; Bacilli; Caryophanales; Paenibacillaceae. The record is from RNAcentral.
GCAAGACCCAACUUCAUAGUUCGUAUAACCUCGAUAAAUUCGGUUCGGGGGCUCUACUGGGAACCUAAAUCCUAACUACGAACACAAUAUAUGCUCAU